UUCCCGGUAGCUUAGUCGAUAAAAGUGCCCGGCUCUUAUCCGGGAGAUCCGGGUUCGAUUCCCGGCUGGGUGA
Diachasma alloeum is the source of this 73-nucleotide non-coding RNA. The record is from the annotation of a RefSeq genome assembly. Lineage: Eukaryota; Metazoa; Arthropoda; Insecta; Hymenoptera; Braconidae.